GAUGAACGCUAGCGGCAGGCUUAACACAUGCAAGUCGAGGGGUAACGUGAGUGCUUGCACUUGACGACGACCGGCGAACGGGUGCGUAACGCGUAUAGAAUCUGCCUUGUACAGGAGGAUAGCCCAGAGAAAUUUGGAUUAACACUCCAUAAUGUUAUAUAGUGGCAUCAUUAUAUAAUUAAAGAUUUAUUGGUACAAGAUGACUAUGCGUCCUAUUAGUUAGAUGGUAAGGUAACGGCUUACCAUGGCAUCGAUAGGUAGGGGGUCUGAGAGGAUUAUCCCCCACACUGGUACUGAGACACGGACCAGACUCCUACGGGAGGCAGCAGUGAGGAAUAUUGGACAAUGGGCGAGAGCCUGAUCCAGCCAUGCCGCGUGCAGGAAGACUGCCCUAUGGGUUGUAAACUGCUUUUAUACAGGAAGAAACCUACUUACGUGUAAGUAGCUGACGGUACUGUAAGAAUAAGCACCGGCUAACUCCGUGCCAGCAGCCGCGGUAAUACGGAGGGUGCAAGCGUUAUCCGGAAUCAUUGGGUUUAAAGGGUCCGCAGGCGGUCAAUUAAGUCAGAGGUGAAAUCUCACAGCUUAACUGUGAAACUGCCUUUGAUACUGGUUGACUUGAGUCAUAUGGAAGUAGAUAGAAUAAGUAGUGUAGCGGUGAAAUGCAUAGAUAUUACUUAGAAUACCGAUUGCGAAGGCAGUCUACUACGUAUGUACUGACGCUCAUGGACGAAAGCGUGGGGAGCGAACAGG
Molecule: ribosomal RNA, 753 nt
Filed under: uncultured bacterium
Lineage: Bacteria
Description: bacterial SSU rRNA
Rfam family: Bacterial small subunit ribosomal RNA
Source: RNAcentral